UACGGAGGGAGCUAGCGUUGUUCGGAAUUACUGGGCGUAAAGCGCACGUAGGCAGUCUUUUAAGUCAGGGGUGAAAUCCCGGGGCUCAACCCCGGAACUGCCCUUGAAACUGGGAAGCUAGAAUCUUGGAGAGGCGAGUGGAAUUCCGAGUGUAGAGGUGAAAUUCGUAGAUAUUCGGAAGAACACCAGUGGCGAAGGCGACUCGCUGGACAAGUAUUGACGAUGAGGUGCGAAAGCGUGGGGAGCAAACAGG
This 253-nucleotide ribosomal RNA is filed under the name uncultured bacterium. RNAcentral describes it as "partial 16S ribosomal RNA". It matches the Rfam family "Bacterial small subunit ribosomal RNA", at positions 524 to 776 of the family's 1533-position model. The record is from RNAcentral.